Small nucleolar RNA from Artibeus jamaicensis (Jamaican fruit-eating bat), 120 nucleotides. RefSeq annotates it as small nucleolar RNA SNORA61. The record is from RefSeq and is a predicted model, not a curated record. Lineage: Eukaryota; Metazoa; Chordata; Mammalia; Chiroptera; Phyllostomidae. The transcript has a single exon.
GCCCUCUGGUUCCCUUUCCCAUCGGAUCUGUGCACCGAUCUUGGUGGUAGUAAAAAAAGGGAAAGCAACAUCGGAGCUGGCCUCACAGCUCCGUAGAGUGUGGGCUAGUUUCAAACGAGG